This is a long non-coding RNA of Cryptotermes secundus, 142 nucleotides long. RefSeq lists it as uncharacterized. The record is from RefSeq and is a predicted model, not a curated record. NCBI's taxonomy places the organism in Eukaryota, Metazoa, Arthropoda, Insecta, Blattodea, Kalotermitidae. The transcript has 2 exons.
GAACAUUGUUUCAACCUUCUGCGGUGUUUUUGAAAAGGCGGAUAAGAAAACACGGUCCCAGAUGUUCACAUUACGUAAAACUUGGAAUAAAGUGUUCCCUCCAGAGAAGUUGUAUGCAAUAGAUGUAUGUGUAAAUGCAAUU